RNAcentral lists this long non-coding RNA (4689 nucleotides) under Gossypium barbadense (sea-island cotton). Its description in RNAcentral is "long non-coding RNA (GBAR_LNC004379)". The record is from RNAcentral. Lineage: Eukaryota; Viridiplantae; Streptophyta; Magnoliopsida; Malvales; Malvaceae.
UUCAUACUCCCAAGAAGCAUUUAGGAGCUGUUUUAUGUGCCCAAAACGUCAAUAAAAAUGGUCAAGCUGUUCAACUCACAAGGAGGCUUCAUUAAGGUGCAUUCAACUUCAUUGGCCGAAUCAAGACCCCUUAUUCAGCUCACCAAUACUUCCAUUAAUGUCCAACUGAAUGGAUUACAUCUAGAAGCUGUCCAAUUGACUUCUUCAUGCAUGAAGCUUCCCAAAAAUGUCUUAGGAAGGUUGCUGGAAAUUUCUAGUCUCUUUUGUUUUAAUUUUGGCUGACCAUUCAGCAUCUUAUUAGUCCAUUCGGCUACCUUAGGAAUUUAUCUAUAAAUAGCUUGUUUUGUAUUCGUUUUAAGGUUAGACAAUAUAUUUUUAAAACUUAUAUGAAAUUUGUUUACUUUGUGAGUUUGUUUCCAACUCUCAUUGUUCUCCAAGGACUGGUUAGACUUAUCAAGUAACCCUUGUGGCGUCAACCCGUUUUUGUAUUUCGAACUUAUCACUUUGCACCCAAAGUGUGGCGUUCAAGUUAUACCGAGGUUCCUAUCAUCUUUGAUAGUGGGUCAAGGUUCCAUUUUAUUCGUUUUCCAUCCAUACAACAUUUAACCUUUCCUAAGUAUUUGUAAAAGUCCCGGGUUAACACACUUAUAUUGUGUUGGUUCAACUUGAAUACUUGGUUUUCAUUCACCUAUCAUCCUCAAUACAUUUCAUAACCCCUUUUGAACUAAAUUUGAGCCUUUAUCUCUUCUUUUUUAACCUAUUUCGUCCACCCUCGAGUAUUACUCCAAUUCACGAUCGGGCACAUCUACGACUCGACUCUCCUUCCCGAGCUGGGGCGCAUCAUUUGGUAUCAGAGCCAGCUGAAUCGGAGUAAGAAUCGAAGUUAUCGGCAUUUCGGUAUUGUAAAAAAAGGAAAAAAAAUUCAAAAAAAAAAUUUGUAUUCAUUUUUUUUUCUUUUCCUUGUCUUCUUUUGUAUUCAGUAUUGAAAAAAAAAGAGAAAUUAAAAAAAAAGAAAAAAAAUGUUUCAGAAGUAAAAAAAAGGUGAUUGAAAUUCAUUUUGAGUUUGUAAAGCAUUGUUUGCUGCCCGAAGUACUCAAAAUUCAUUUCUAGCCACACUUAACCUUUCUAUUUUGUUUGAUAGCCUACCUUUAAUCCCGACAUCAGCCCCACCAAAGCCACAUCAAUUUUUUAAGCCGACCCCAAACGGUAUUGAUUUGUCGACUUAGUUUGCGAAGAACUUUGAGGGGUGAAAAUCGAGUGGAAAAAGGCAAGAGCGAUUGGUGAGACCAUUCGAGAGAAGUAAAAGCCAAAUAGUGUGAAUUUUUUUUUGUGUGAGAGAAGUGUGAGUUUUGUUGUGUGAUUAAAAAAAAAGAUGUCAAGAAGUUUUGAAGGGAUUGAUGAUGAAGAAUAUGACGAUGUUUUGAUCGACCCAACAUAUCAAACGAUUAUUCAUGAUGUGGGUCAAAUGCUUCAAAGAAAAUUGGAACCAAUUAAAGAACGAUUGAAGAAGUUGGAUGAACGAUUCCAACGAGAGCAAAUUUCUUCAAGUUAAGAGAUGAAGAAAAGAUCGUCACGACGACACUACUCGACAAGAGACUCUUAUCAAGACUUCUAUUCAACAAGGCGUUCGAGACCAAGAGAAGCAAACUCCGAGUUUGAGUCCUUCCGAGAUGAUAAACGAAAAAGUAAACGUGUCUCUACAAGUGCCUCAAUUUAUUCAUCUACAAAGGAUUAUUUACGAAGAGGUGCACGUGUUUCAAGAGUGUCAAAGUACUCGGCUACGGAAGAUCUAUCACAAAGAGAAGAUUGCCAUUUGUAUGAAGAAUCCUUUUCUUAUUCUCAACGAAAGGCUUCUCAUUUUGAUGAUUUCUACUUUUGUAAUGGAAUUGAAAUAGCAUGUGAAAAAGAAAAAGAAAAAGAGCGCGAGCGAGAAAAUGAACAUGAAAAAGAAAUGAAAGAAAAAGAAGAUGAGUGGGAGAUAGAAAAGAAAAUUGAAAAUGAGAUUGAGAAUAAAAACGAGUGCGAAAAAGAAAAGGAAACCGAAAAAGAGAGUGAGAUUGAAGGAAGAAACGAGAGUGCAAAAGAAAUGAGUGAUAUGGUAAAAGAAAGAGGAUUUGAAAAUGAGUUGGAAAAAGAAAGAAAUGAAAAGGAUGAAAGUGAAAAAGAAAGGAGUGUUGUUACUAACCAUCCUAUGAAUUUUCCUUGUUUUGUUUCUACUUUUCAGGUUUCUCGAAAUCCCAUCGAUCAAUUUCAACUUCAAUACUUUUCUAAGGAGAAACGAUUUCGAUUAGUCGAGAAAGGUAAGAUCGUAGAUGACCCUAGUCCACAAGUGCUUAAAGGUAAGCCAUGUAAGGGAUCUACUGUAUUUGAGUCUUCUCAAUCUUACUUGAUUCUUGAUGACGAGAUUAGCAAAGACUUAGUUUGUGAGAAAGUUUUUCAUCUUGAUCUGAUUGGAAAUCAUAAUUUGAUUGUUGAUAAAUGUGUUUUACAUAGUAAUGUGAAAUAUCUUUCUGCUCAUGAGCCUAUCAUUGUCAAGAUUGAUCAAGAAGUAAGUCCAGGUAAGCCCAAACAAAAAUUGGGAUUGUGUGAUGAAAAGUUGACAUCUAAUCUGUUUGCUUGUGAUGAUCAUGUGAAUUAUCUAAAUUGUGGUGUGAACUUUUCUUAUUUACGUGUGUGAAUGAAAUAUGAAGGGUUUGAUUGCUCAAAUGUAUGUAUGACUAACUCCUAUUUGCUUGACAUGUGUGAAGUCUUGGUGAAGAAGAAAUUUUCGUUGCGUUGCGAAACGACCAAUGAAAAUCGCGUUUUUAAACCUGGGAUAUACAUUCCUAAGUUAACGUCAAGCCAAGCAAGAGGAAGCUUCGUUUUUGACCCCGGAGAUUAUUAUUCUUUGUUCUUGUUAAAAGGGUUUGGAUUUUGCAAUUUUGACUUUCGAGAUUAUGCCUUUCGACUAUUUUGUGGUUCGGAUUUGUUUCUAUCCAUGAACUUUUUGAUUCAUUUUGGAAAGGUAAGAGCGAAUUUCAUUUUUGAUCCUGGCAUUGGGUUAAGCAUCCCAAUUUUGAAUAAGCAUCUAAAAAGAUCAUUUGUGUUUAUAAUUUUUAGUGUCUCUAAUUCCUUUCAUUCUCGUGUAGGUGACACUCUAAAUUGGUUCCCUCCAAAAGAGGGAGGGCAUGGAAAUAAUUCAAAAUUUUCUCGAACCAUUCGUGAUUUUCAAAGUUUUGGAAAUGAUUCUAUUCGGGUCAUGAACAAAAGGGUUCGAGAUCUUGAAAAUUUUUUUUCGAGCAAGUGGCCCGAUUUGAGGACAAAUCGUCUUCUAGAGGGAGGGUAUGAUGUGAUCCUGAUCGCAUCAUUUAAUGUCACAACCCAACGCCGUCGAGAUUGGCCUAAACACGAGGGCCCCAAGUGCAAGAUGAAGCUAAUUUUUAGCUCAUUUGAAUUUCUUUUCGUGUGGUUCAACUCAUUCGAGCUCAAGUUAGCUCAUUCGUGCUCAAGUCAGCUCAUUCAAGCUCAAUUUAACUCGUUGAGCUCGUUAUUAGCUCUUUAGCUCUUUUAAUUUAAUUUGCCGGAAUAAAUUAAUUAGUUGAGUUAGUUAUUUUAGCUCAAAUAAUUACUAAGUGUUUAAUUAAGAAAUCUGGACAUUUUAAUUAUGUUUGUUUAUUGCAUGUUUAAUUUGUUUUAAUUAUUACCUAGCAUAAAUGUGUUUGCCUUAUUACAAUUAUUUAAUGUGUCUUAUUGCUGAUUUAUUAUGCCUAAGCUGUUAUUUAAUGUUCAGCCAAAUUUAAUUAACUUUUCUAGGAUGCUGAAUUAAAUGUGUCUUAGUUGCCGAAUUUAUUGAUGUUUUUCAUUAGUUUCAGCCGAAUUUAUGAGCAUAUUUAUUGAUCAAAUUGCUGCCAAUUUAAUUUGUCUUAAGAUGCUAAUUUUUAAUGAGCAGAUAUUAAUGACCGAAUUUAAUUAUUUGGCUGCAGGUUUAAUGGCUUGGACGGCAAUUUAAGGAAGUGGAUGUUGGCCGAAUUUAAUGUACAGCAAGACAUGCAUUAAAGAUGCUGUUCUACAUGCAAGGAACGGCAUUAAAGGAGUUGUUUGUGCUUUUUCAUGUGGCCAUUUAAUGGACGAAAUUAAAGAAGCUGCUUGCUGAUUUAAUGUGCAGCAAAGACAUGAAUUAAAUGAGAUGUUCCCAUGUAUGGAACGACAUUUAAAGGGAAGCAAAACAUGAAUUAAAUGAGAUAUUCACCAUGCAUGGACGGCAUUAAUGAAAGCAUGCAAGGGGGGACGUUAUUGAACAGCAUUAAAGCUGGUAUUGCUUCGGGUACAGCAAAGAGCUGUUGUUUGGGGAAUUUCCAAGUGACCAUUCGGCCAAAGCAUGUCUGUUGCUUAAUUAACCAAGGUUGACGUUUCAUACUCCCAAGAAGCAUUUAGGAGCUGUUUUGUGUGCCCAAAACGUCAAUAAAAAUGGUCAAGCUGUUAACUCACAAGGAGGCUUCAUUAAGGUGCAUUCAACUUCAUUGGCCGAACCAAGACCCCUUAUUCAGCUCACCAAUACUUCCAUUAAUGUCCAGCUGAAUGGAUUACAUCUAGAAGCUGUCCAAUUGACUUCUUCAUGCAUGAAGCUUCCCAAAAAUGUCUUAGGAAGGUUGCUGGAAAUUUCUAGUCUCUUUUGUUUUAAUUUUGGCUGACCAUUCAGCAUCUUAUUAG